UCGAGCGAGUCUGCCUUGAGAUCGGAGUGCUUGCACUCUGUGAAACAAGAUACAGGCUAGCGGCGGACGGGUGAGUAACACGUGGGUAACCUGCCCAAGAGAUCGGGAUAACACCUGGAAACAGAUGCUAAUACCGGAUAACAACAGAUGAUGCCUAUCAACUGUUUAAAAGAUGGUUCUGCUAUCACUCUUGGAUGGACCUGCGGUGCAUUAGCUAGUUGGUAGGGUAACGGCCUACCAAGGCGAUGAUGCAUAGCCGAGUUGAGAGACUGAUCGGCCACAUUGGGACUGAGACACGGCCCAAACUCCUACGGGAGGCAGCAGUAGGGAAUCUUCCACAAUGGACGCAAGUCUGAUGGAGCAACGCCGCGUGAGUGAAGAAGGGUUUCGGCUCGUAAAGCUCUGUUGUUGGUGAAGAAGGACAGGGGUAGUAACUGACCUUUGUUUGACGGUAAUCAAUUAGAAAGUCACGGCUAACUACGUGCCAGCAGCCGCGGUAAUACGUAGGUGGCAAGCGUUGUCCGGAUUUAUUGGGCGUAAAGCGAGUGCAGGCGGCUCGAUAAGUCUGAUGUGAAAGCCUUCGGCUCAACCGGAGAAUUGCAUCAGAAACUGUCGAGCUUGAGUACAGAAGAGGAGAGUGGAACUCCAUGUGUAGCGGUGAAAUGCGUAGAUAUAUGGAAGAACACCGGUGGCGAAGGCGGCUCUCUGGUCUGUU
RNAcentral lists this ribosomal RNA (715 nucleotides) under uncultured bacterium. RNAcentral's name for it is "bacterial SSU rRNA". It matches the Rfam family "Bacterial small subunit ribosomal RNA", at positions 62 to 738 of the family's 1533-position model. The record is from RNAcentral.